This is an RNA transcript of Scylla paramamosain (green mud crab), 3109 nucleotides long. It is a transcript of the gene named putative nuclease HARBI1, with no coding region annotated. The record is from RefSeq and is a predicted model, not a curated record. NCBI's taxonomy places the organism in Eukaryota, Metazoa, Arthropoda, Malacostraca, Decapoda, Portunidae. The transcript has 4 exons.
GAUAACUAAAUUUUACAGAAAAAGUUUGGCAGCUGUUAAGACUAACAAAUUCCUGUUAGCCUUAACAUUUUCCUGUUAAGCGCUAACAGACAUUCACAAAACUUGUUAAGGCAUUAACAGCACUGUUAAGGUAACAGCACGGCAGAGGUCCUUUAGCUCCUAGCAAACAGCUGUCAGCAGGAUGGCAGCACAACAACGUCAGCGGCGCACCUACAGUGAGAAGAGAUAUUUUCGCUGAGUACGACGAUGCUGAGUUACUGAAAAGAUUCAGAUUGGACCGUGCUGGUAUUGUUGCAGUGACUGAUAUAGUGAGAGACAAGCUGCAAAGUAAAACUGAAAGAAAUAGAGCCUUGAGCCCUGAGAUGAAGGUGGCCAUCACAUUACGAUAUUUAGGCACAGGAAAAAUGCAACAGUGCAGUUGUGAUGAUUUUGGAACAACGCAGCCCACUAUCAGCCGUGCAAUAUCACAGAUAAUUGAUGCACUGGCUGACCCAGAAGUAAUCUGCCAGUUCGUGGAUUUCCCUCACACCUAGCAUGAAGUGCAGCAAAAACAGGCAGAGUUCAUGCAAGCAACUCAGUUUUCCGGUGUUGUGGGAGUGAUUGAUGGCACUCAUAUAAGAAUUGUGGCUCCUCAUGUCGAUGAACAUGUAUAUGUGAACAGGAAACGCUAUCACAACAUAAAUGUGCAAGUAGUAUUUGAUGCUCACUAUAAGAUUCUUGACAUUGUGGCAAGGUGGCCUGGCUCAGUCAACGAUGCAAGAAUACUAGAUGAGUCAGCACUGAAAUUGAUGUUUGAGGAACAACAUGUACCUGCAGGAUGCUACCUUCUCAGGGACAGUGGCUAUCCCUGCAAGCAGUGGCUCCUCACUCCUUACCUUCGCCCUCAAACUGUUGCACAAGCUAAUUAUAACAGAGUUCAUAGGAAGGCUCGUUGCACUGUGGAACGAGGCAUUGGCCAACUUAAAAAAAGAUUUCAUGUUCUGCUUAGUGAGGUGCGUCUCGGUCCUGAAAAGACGUGCAAGUUGAUUACUGUCUGUGCUGUGCUUCACAACAUUUGUAAGGCUCGGAACAUCCCUUUGCCUGAUGACAAUGUUGAGGAUGAUGCAGUGGAAGUAGGUGAUGGUGCACAGUUGCAUCUAAAUCCAGGCAUUCCUGCUGCCCACAAUAGACAUCCAUUCCGGGACUAUAUUGCCAACCUACAUUUUCAAGUACAUACCCUUAUGAUGCAUGAAGUCACAACAUGUGGAUCCUGUCAAGUCAGCAUUGCAUGUAUCUUCAUAUGGAGACUGUAGACAACAAAUUCUCUCACCGAACUACUUUCUCUUAAGGGAGCAGAAGAUGGCCAUAAUAUCACUUAGCAGUAAUAUAGGAAAUAAAACCACUAGUUGUGGUGAAGGGAUCACCAACUCCUCCUCCUGCUGCUGAUGCACCUCCUGGAGCUGAUACUGUUGGCUGUCCUCCUGGUGGGGGUCCUGCUGGUGGUCUACCUGGUGCUGCUGCUGGUGGUCCUCCUGGUGGUGCUGCUGCUGGUGGUCCUCCUGGUGGUGCUGCUGCUGGUGGUCCUCCUGGUGCUGGUGCUGCUGGUGGUCCUCCUGGUGCUGCUGCUGCUGGUGGUCCUCCUGGUGCUGCUGCUGCUGAUGGGUCACCUGCUGUUGGUCACGUGCCCUGUUGGCCCGCAGCUUCCUAAAAAGAGCGUAAAACCAGGAACAACUUUUAAUCAGAUCUUGCAACUUUAAUGCUACGCUUUGCCUUGGCCGAAGGCAUCUUCAUGACAAAACACAUCAAUAUAAAAUUAUUGAAGCAAAUGAUGAUACAGCAUAACAAACUUAAUAAUACUACACAAUAAAUCAUAUGCUAAGUAAUAUUAUUUUUUGUAUUACUUUAUUAAUAAUACAAAAGUAGGUAUGUAGAGACAAGAAAAGUUGGCAUAUCCAUUGUAAGUUUACAGUUUAUCGUCACCUACAUCAUGUAUAAGGUAAGUUUUGGCAAAUAACUUUCCGGGAGGAGGGAUACGAUUAAUUAGUUUAAUACUACAGAGAAGAGUGUCCGAGGGAUAUGUUAUGUUAGGUUUGGUUAGGUUAGGUUUAGUUAGUUUAAUAUUUCAGAGAACAUGUUGAAAAUGGGUGUUUUUGUAAUAUUUCAGAGAACAUGCGGAAAAUUAGGUGUUUUGGGUGUGCUUUUUAAUGGAGAUUGUUUCUUUUCUUGGAAAUACGCCAUUUAUUGGUUAUGACAAAAAAUUAUAAUUAGGAAAUGACAGGUUUCCGAGAAAAGAAUAUAUCCAUUAUAAAAUACAUAAAAAAACACAUAUUUUCAACAUGUUCUUCUCUAAAAAAGAGAUUUGUCUGUUUUCCAAAUCUUUACCAAAGUUGUACUUACUGCAACCUCAACAGGGUUCCUUUGACAUGAGAAAUGCCACCAAUAGUUACACUCUUCUCCCCAAUCAUUUCUUGAACCUUCAAGUUGAUGGGAUCCAGGGGAGUUGCUUCAAGGCCACCAGCACCUAAAAGAUCAAUUACACAAUUCAUAAUUAAUGCUAUGUUACUUUUCUUUGUGUGACAUAUAUGGCCUGUUUUCUUUGUGUCACAUAAAUGGCCUGUUGCAAAGCUUUCCUUGGGAUUAUUUUAGUUUACUUUGUUUAUUUAAUUUCCCUUAUUUGCUUCUUUUAUAUAUAUAUAUAUAUAUAUAUAUAUAUAUAUAUAUAUAUAUAUAUAUAUAUAUAUAUAUAUAUAUAUAUAUAUAUAUUUCUACUGGCACUUUGCAUAAUUAGGUUUGGGUAGGUUAUUAUUUUUUUUUCUUGCAUUAAUUCAUGAUUUAGUCAUCAUAAUGUUUGGGGGGCUAUGUACAAACCUAAACCUUAUGAGUGCAUUUCAUUUUCACUUUAUCAUUUGCUACUUUCCUGCUUUUGCCCCACCACUAAUUUUCAGAUUUUCCUGUUGUAUUUGAUUUUAUUUAUCUUAGGGAAGGUUAGGUUAAGUAGGUUAGGUUAGGUUAUCGCACCACCUUUCUUUGUUAAUCUUACCAAUUAUUAUAUUUGGUACUUUCAACUAUCUUAGCCUAACCUAACCUUGAAUAAAUAAACAAAUAGAAUGAAUAAACAAAUAGAAACUUG